Molecule: non-coding RNA, 1529 nt
Organism: Paramisgurnus dabryanus
Lineage: Eukaryota; Metazoa; Chordata; Actinopteri; Cypriniformes; Cobitidae
Source: RefSeq, a predicted model, not a curated record
GUCCACGUUUUUCUUUCGUACGUUGACGAGGAAGGAGCUGAAACUUUUCGCUUUUAAAUAAGCAUUUUCUUAAACAACGAUUUUGAUUUCGUUAUAUUUCACACAUUUUUCGCGUUGUGGUUUUGGAUAUUGAACUUUUCUGGUAAUUACCGACGGCUUGUAUUUUUUGGUAAUGUGCCCUGAAAUCAUGACCUUAAAAGGAAGUAACGUUAACCAGAAAAACAUGGACACCACAUCUGUGAAUAGGAGAUGGUCGAAAUCAAAAAGGAAGCCUUUUUUCAGUACGCAUAUGAGGAGAGCCAGCAUCAGAAAUUGCAGUGCUUUUGUCGUGAGGAGGCAGCAAGGCCGCGCGUGGCCCGCACGGAAAUCCCAUCAGGCCCGAGAUCCUUGCGACAAUUCUUCGGUGAGAAACCAUUGUUCUGUACCAUCUGGUGCCAUGGCACCAAAAAACACUACAGAGUAUUUGAUGGACCUUGUUUACGAGCGAUCGGAUGUUUCAAUGGAGUCUUUUGAUAUCUUUGGAGUUUCAACAGAGAGACUUCGAGAGCGUGUACUUCAGGAAUGAAAUUUGACGUGGUCAUCGCAACCUGACCUGAUUUCGUCAGAAGGAGACAAGAGUGCAGUCGUUUUACCAUAGACAGUAAAAUCAUUGCGCAGGCUCCAAGUCACGGAGGCCGGACGCUCUGCGUCACAGCUGCGCGAUGACGUGUAUGCCACGCCCCGCCCCAUGUGCCGUCAUCAUCACGUGGCUUGCAGGUAAACCCGCUUCACCCUUUCAGGUGUACGAGGUGUAAUGCAAAGAACGUUGCAGUAACGUCACAAAUGUCAUUUCUAGAAAUGUGCAUGCACUGUUAUACCAUAGGAUACAUGUGUUUGAGAGACUUUUGCAGGUUGCUGAUCAUCCUCGGUUACUCUCCGCUGUCUGUGCAACGCGUGCAAAGCCUCUGGACAAAGCCACAUGGCCUUCUGGUCAACAGUGUUGGGUAAUUGUUCAUGUGAUAACUGUUAAUAGUCCUUUUGCACAAUGUAAUCCUAUUUCAUAACGUUCUGUGGUAUACUUCAUUUUGUGAAAAUAAACUGUAAAUAUUGAUUGUAUUAAUGAUUAAAGAUUGUUUAAAAUAUUAAAACUAUUUAAUACUACAAUUUUUGAGUCAUUUCCUAAUAUUUUAAGAGGUAAAAUGAAUUAUUUUUGUACAGGCGAAAAAGAAUAGAUCAGUCACAUGAGACCUAUUCUGGUAUUGAAUGAAUAACGUCAUUUUAUUGCAGUAGUAUUAUUGUUACUAUCAGAUAAAGUAUUAAAGGCAUGAGCACCAUUCAGCUUGAAACUGAAAUCUGAGAAGAUCGGAAGGGGCUACAGUUGGUCGUCUUUGCUCCGGUGAGGAUGGGAACAAAGUGCAGAUGAUGAAUGACUGGAAAGCGGAUGAAUAAAAGGCCUGUGGACUAGUUUUAGUGGUAAAUAUAGGUUCAGUAUUAAGUGUGUCCUACACAAAUCUUUGCCUAAUAAAAUCCCUGAUUCUCUGGUAAAACUA